RNAcentral lists this ribosomal RNA (476 nucleotides) under uncultured bacterium. Its description in RNAcentral is "bacterial SSU rRNA". It matches the Rfam family "Bacterial small subunit ribosomal RNA", at positions 28 to 504 of the family's 1533-position model. The record is from RNAcentral.
GACGAACGCUGGCGGCGUGCCUAACACAUGCAAGUCAACUUGACUGAAGGAGCAAUCUGACAGUAGAGUGGCGCAAGGGUGCGUAACGCGUAAGUAACUUGCCCAAGGUAAGGAAUAACGUCGAGAAAUCGGCGCUAAUACCUCAUAAUGCAGCGGAUCCGCAUGGAUAUGUUGUUAAAGGUUUACCGCCUUGGGAUAGGCUUGCGUCUGAUUAGCUAGUUGGUGUGGUAACGGCACACCAAGGCUACGAUCAGUAACUGGUCUGAGAGGAUGAUCAGUCACACUGGAACUGAGACACGGUCCAGACUCCUACGGGAGGCAGCAGUGAGGAAUAUUGGGCAAUGCUCGAAAGAGUGACCCAGCAACGCCGCGUGGAGGAUGAAGGUAUUCUAUAUCGUAAACUCCUGUGAGAGCAGACGAAGGACAGAUUAUUAAUCUGGAUGACUGUAUGCUCAGAGGAAGCCCCGGCUAACUAC